This 523-nucleotide ribosomal RNA is filed under the name uncultured bacterium. RNAcentral's name for it is "partial 16S ribosomal RNA". It matches the Rfam family "Bacterial small subunit ribosomal RNA", at positions 28 to 523 of the family's 1533-position model. The record is from RNAcentral.
GACGAACGCUGGCGGCGUGCCUAAUACAUGCAAGUCGAACGCUUUUUCUUUCACCGGAGCUUGCUCCACCGAAAGAAAAAGAGUGGCGAACGGGUGAGUAACACGUGGGUAACCUGCCCAUCAGAAGGGGAUAACACUUGGAAACAGGUGCUAAUACCGUAUAACACUAUUUUCCGCAUGGAAGAAAGUUGAAAGGCGCUUUUGCGUCACUGAUGGAUGGACCCGCGGUGCAUUAGCUAGUUGGUGAGGUAACGGCUCACCAAGGCAACGAUGAAUAGCCGACCUGAGAGGGUGAUCGGCCCCACUGGGACUGAGACACGGCCCAGACUCCUACGGGAGGCAGCAGUAGGGAAUCUUCGGCAAUGGACGAAAGUCUGACCGAGCAACGCCGCGUGAGUGAAGAAGGUUUUCGGAUCGUAAAACUCUGUUGUUAGAGAAGAACAAGGAUGAGAGUAAAAUGUUCAUCCCUUGACGGUAUCUAACCAGAAAGCCACGGCUAACUACGUGCCAGCAGCCGCCGUAA